AACGAACGCUGGCGGCAGGCCUAACACAUGCAAGUCGAGCGAGGACUUCGGUUCUAGCGGCGGACGGGUGAGUAACGCGUGGGAAUGUGCCCUUCUCUACGGAAUAGCCCUGGGAAACUGGGAGUAAUACCGUAUACGCCCUAUUGGGGAAAGAUUUAUCGGAGAAGGAUCAGCCCGCGUUGGAUUAGGUAGUUGGUGGGGUAAUGGCCUACCAAGCCGACGAUCCAUAGCUGGUUUGAGAGGAUGAUCAGCCACACUGGGACUGAGACACGGCCCAGACUCCUACGGGAGGCAGCAGUGGGGAAUCUUAGACAAUGGGGGCAACCCUGAUCUAGCCAUGCCGCGUGAGUGAUGAAGGCCUUAGGGUUGUAAAGCUCUUUUAGCUGGGAAGAUAAUGACGGUACCAGCAGAAGAAGCCCCGGCUAACUCCGUG
RNAcentral lists this ribosomal RNA (433 nucleotides) under uncultured bacterium. RNAcentral's name for it is "partial 16S ribosomal RNA". It matches the Rfam family "Bacterial small subunit ribosomal RNA", at positions 29 to 507 of the family's 1533-position model. The record is from RNAcentral.